This 497-nucleotide ribosomal RNA is filed under the name uncultured bacterium. RNAcentral's name for it is "partial 16S ribosomal RNA". It matches the Rfam family "Bacterial small subunit ribosomal RNA", at positions 28 to 507 of the family's 1533-position model. The record is from RNAcentral.
GACGAACGCUGGCGGCGUGCCUAAUACAUGCCAGUUGAGCGCUGAAGGUUGGUACUUGUACCAACUGGAUGAGCAGCGAACGGGUGAGUAACGCGUGGGGAAUCUGCCUUUGAGCGGGGGACAACAUUUGGAAACGAAUGCUAAUACCGCAUAAAAACUUUAAACACAAGUUUUAAGUUUGAAAGAUGCAAUUGCAUCACUCAAAGAUGAUCCCGCGUUGUAUUAGCUAGUUGGUGAGGUAAAGGCUCACCAAGGCGAUGAUACAUAGCCGACCUGGGAGGGUGGUCGGCCACAAUGGGACUGAGACACGGCCCAAACUCCUACGGGAGGCAGCAGUAGGGAAUCUUCGGCAAUGGACGAAAGUCUGACCGAGCAACGCCGCGUGAGUGAAGAAGGUUUUCGGAUCGUAAAACUCUGUUGGUAGAGAAGAACGUUGGUGAGAGUGGAAAGCGCAUCAAGUGACGGUAACUACCCAGAAAGGGACGGCUAACUACGUG